UACGGGGGGGGCAAGCGUUGUUCGGAAUUACUGGGCGUAAAGGGCUCGUAGGUGGCCAACUAAGUCGGACGUGAAAUCCCUCGGCUUAACCGGGGAACUGCGUCCGAUACUGGUUGGCUUGAGUUUGGGAGAGGGAUGCGGAAUUCCAGGUGUAGCGGUGAAAUGCGUAGAUAUCUGGAGGAACACCGGUGGCGAAGGCGGCAUCCUGGACCGGUAUUGACGCUGAGGCGCGAAAGCUAGGGGAGCAAACGGG
This 253-nucleotide ribosomal RNA is filed under the name uncultured bacterium. RNAcentral's name for it is "partial 16S ribosomal RNA". It matches the Rfam family "Bacterial small subunit ribosomal RNA", at positions 524 to 776 of the family's 1533-position model. The record is from RNAcentral. RNAcentral also lists the same sequence under 1 other name.